AUUGAACGCUGGCGGCAGGCCUAACACAUGCAAGUCGAGCGGAUGAAGGGAGCUUGCUCCUGGAUGCAGCGGCGGACGGGUGAGUAAUGCCUAGGAAUUUGCCUGGUAGUGGGGGAUAACGUCCGGAAACGGGGGCUAAUACCGCAUACGUCCUGAGGGUGAAAGUGGGGGAUCUUCGGACCUCACGCUAUCAGAUGAGCCUAGGUCGGAUUAGCUAGUUGGUGGGGUAAAGGCCUACCAAGGCGACGAUCCGAAACUGGUCUGAGUGGAUGAUCAGUCACACUGGAACUGAGACACGGUCCAGACUCCUACGGGAGGCAGCAGUGGGGAAUAUUGGACAAUGGUCGAAAGCCUGAUCCAGCCGUGCCGCGUGUGUGAAGAAGGUCUUCGGAUUGUAAAGCACUUUAAGUUGGGAGGAAGGGCAGUAAGUUAAUACCUUGCUGUUUUGACGUUACCAACAGAAUAAGCACCGGCUAACUUCGUG
Molecule: ribosomal RNA, 484 nt
Filed under: uncultured bacterium
Lineage: Bacteria
Description: partial 16S ribosomal RNA
Rfam family: Bacterial small subunit ribosomal RNA
Source: RNAcentral